AAGAAUUUUUCCGGGGGGGGUGCUGCGGAAGGAUCAUGACAGAGUUCAUGCCCGAAAGGGUAGACCUCCCAGCCUUGUGUAUUAUUACUUUGUUGCUUUGGCGAGCUGCCUUCGGGCCUUGUAUGCUCGCCAGAGGAUAAUUAAACUCUUUUUAUAAUGUCGUCUGAGUACUAUAUAAUAGUUAAAACUUUCAACAACGGAUCUCUUGGUUCUGGCAUCGAUGAAGAACGCAGCGAAAUGCGAUAAGUAAUGUGAAUUGCAGAAUUCAGUGAAUCAUCGAAUCUUUGAACGCACAUUGCGCCCCUUGGUAUUCCGGGGGGCAUGCCUGUUCGAGCGUCAUUUCAACCCUCAAGCACAGCUUGGUAUUGAGUCUAUGUCAGUAAUGGCAGGCUCUAAAAUCAGUGGCGGCGCCGCUUGUUCCUGAACGUAGUAAUAUCUCUCGUUACAGGUUCUCAGUGUGCUUCUGCCAAAACCCAAAUUUUCUAUGGUUGACCUCGGAUCAGGUAGGGAUACCCGCUGAACUUAAGCAUAUAAAAACC
Molecule: small RNA, 539 nt
Filed under: Monilinia fructicola
Lineage: Eukaryota; Fungi; Ascomycota; Leotiomycetes; Helotiales; Sclerotiniaceae
Description: eukaryotic LSU rRNA
Rfam family: 5.8S ribosomal RNA (bases 186-339)
Source: RNAcentral